AGGGCAGAGUUUCCUUUCCCGGACCCGCAGGGCGGGCGUGGAUCUCACAGAGCGCGGGGCUGACCGCAAAGUCGUCCUGCGCUUUCCCGCUGAGUGAGCUCCUCGCACGCUUCCCCUGCGCUCAGGGCCGGGGUCUCAGGCCGGGCAGACGCCGAGGUUCUCAGUAUAUACCUCUCACUGGCCUGAAACCCACUGUACAGUUCAGGUUGGCCUCAAACUCACGGAUGUCUCCCUCCCUCAGUCUGUUGACCAGUGAAGAAUAGGGAAAACUACAGUUGAACAUGAAUAGAAAUGGAGGUGCUGUGUAUAUGCAUUACUGUUGGUUCCCAUCCUCCUAAGUGUGAAGACAAAACAAACACAGCUAAGACACAGCGCUGAGAGAGUCUUCUUCCCUGCAGAGGGUGGGGAUAGAUGAGACUUUUCCAAAGCUAUGCUUUUCCUCAGCAAAGGAAGCAGGGGGCUUUUACUGAGGGAGUCUGGACACAUUCAUGUGAGGUCUGCCUAUACCUAAGGAUGCUCUGUUAACAGGUGUACUUCUGAACAUGGACACACUGUAAAGGCAGAGAUGUUAGUCUUAGCUCAAUAAACUGCGGGAACAAAUGUAUAAUAUAAAAAUCAUGAACAGAAAUGCUUCUGGAAUCUUUGCUGAAAAUCUAGUAAAGGAUACUGGGAACGUAGACUACUUAGGAGCAAAUGUUACCUGAUAAUCAAGAUGUAUCAUCUAAGGAUCUAUGUAUCAAUGCCAGAAUUCUCAUAAAUACACAGGACAGAGACAGAAAACAGAAUACAUAAGGAAAAGUCACCCGUCACACCGUGGAUGCCAUUCUAGGAAGAACACCUCUGCUGGGCUACUCUAGCCUCAGAACAAGGGUGAUUUGGCUCUGAGCAGACUGCUUCAGAGGAAGGCUACAGAGGCUUCCAUUCAGUACCAGAAAGAGAUCAUCCUAAAUAGCCCUGACUGCUGGAUGGCUUGGGACAGUGACACCACUACAGAGAAUUCCAUUCCUUUUUAAUUUAAUUUUUAUUUUUAUUAAGUUUCAUUAAAAUGUAAUUACCCCAUUUUCCCCUUUCCUCCAUCCUUCCCCUCAUAUGUCCUCUCCCUUAAACUCCUACUCUGCCUCCAAAAUUUCAAAUUGAUUGUCUCUUUUUCUUCAUUUGUUACAUAUGUGUGAAUAAAUAUGCCCAAGUAUCAA
This is a long non-coding RNA of Mesocricetus auratus (golden hamster), 1193 nucleotides long. RefSeq lists it as uncharacterized. NCBI's taxonomy places the organism in Eukaryota, Metazoa, Chordata, Mammalia, Rodentia, Cricetidae. The transcript has 2 exons. The record is from RefSeq and is a predicted model, not a curated record.